RNAcentral lists this ribosomal RNA (548 nucleotides) under Prasinoderma singulare. Its description in RNAcentral is "SSU rRNA". It matches the Rfam family "Eukaryotic small subunit ribosomal RNA", at positions 626 to 1177 of the family's 1831-position model. Lineage: Eukaryota; Viridiplantae; Prasinodermophyta; Prasinodermophyceae; Prasinodermales; Prasinodermaceae. The record is from RNAcentral.
GCUCGUAGUUGGAUUUUGGGUUAGGGUGUCCGGUCCGCCGUUUCGGUGUGCACUGGGCGCUCUUUCCUUUCUGCCGGGGACCGUUGGGUGUCUUAAUUGCCAUCCCUCGGGAGUCGGCGUUGUUACUUUGAAAAAAUUAGAGUGUUCAAAGCAAGCCAUCGCUCUGAAUACAUUAGCAUGGAAUAACAUGAUAGGACUCCGCUCUUAUUUUGUUGGUUUCCGAGACUGGAGUAAUGAUUAAGAGGGACAGUCGGGGGCAUCCGUAUUUCAUUGUCAGAGGUGAAAUUCUUGGAUUUAUGAAAGACGAACUUCUGCGAAAGCAUUUGCCAAGGAUGUUUUCAUUAAUCAAGAACGAAAGUUGGGGGCUCGAAGAUGAUCAGAUACCAUCCUAGUCUCAACCAUAAACGAUGCCGACUAGGGAUUGGCGGAUGUUCCUUAGAUGACUCCGCCAGCACCUUAUGAGAAAUCAUUAAGUUUUUGGGUUCCGGGGGGAGUAUGGUCGCAAGGCUGAAACUUAAAGGAAUUGACGGAAGGGCACCACCAGGCGU